AAGCCCAGAACAAGGGUCACUGGAUGUGGGUUCAGUUUGCCUUGUGAACUUAGUGGUUGUUCUGGGGCAGCUCUCGUCACUGCCUUCUCUGAGCCACCCUAUUCAUCCAGGAGAACUCAGGACCUGCCAGCCCGAGCCUUCUCAC
MicroRNA precursor from Equus caballus (horse), 145 nucleotides. The record is from Ensembl. Lineage: Eukaryota; Metazoa; Chordata; Mammalia; Perissodactyla; Equidae.